Molecule: long non-coding RNA, 1879 nt
Filed under: Sus scrofa (pig)
Lineage: Eukaryota; Metazoa; Chordata; Mammalia; Artiodactyla; Suidae
Description: lncRNA (ENSSSCG00050026460.1)
Source: RNAcentral
CUCAUGCACAAUAAGCUCAUUAGUUUGUUCCUUUAGAAUAAAUACCAAGGCUGUAGGAGAUGAUGAAAGGUAUCAGCCAUGCUGAAGUGGAGGGGGUUUCAGAGAAGACCCCUCCCCAUCAGCCAGCAGAACAGAAGAUCGGCCCUCCCUCUUUCCUUCUUUUUCUGCUAAAUCACACCUGCCUCCUAGAGAGAGGAGUUCUGCCUUUGAGGUUUGUCUUAGAGAAAAGAUAAGCUUGAAAUGUUCUCUCUGGAGAGGACAUGGGGUUUGGGAAUCUUCUGAAAAGACCCAGGAAAAUGGUUCUGUUCAAACACAAUGUUCUAGGACAAUUGGAAUAAAAAUAUUGUCCAAAAAUAGAACUAAAAGAAAAAAAAAAGUUAGCAUUGUGCAAAGUAAGUGUUAACUAAGGAAGUCCUCAAAAAAGGUGCUGUCACUUUAAGUUCUGGACUGGGGCCGGGGGGCGGGGGGCGUCUGUAAUUGUAAACAGUAAAGCAUUUGUGUUUGUUUGUCUAUUUGUAAAGCAACCACCUUCCUUACUGGAAGGAGAAAAAAAACUGGGGGGUACAUACGUGUAAAUACUUGCUGCAGCAUUUAAUAUGUUUAAUUUUAUGUUAAGCUUUUUGUUGCAUCGUGAACACAUUUAUUGUUACCGAUGGACAAUGAGUUCAUUAAGACGGUUCAACUAGGUCAGAUUUUUACAUCUCUUUCUAGCAAGAAGAGACAAGAUUUUGUGCAUUUGUACAAAUGUUAAUAAUAUCACUGCAAUUCCAAUAUAAUAAAGCACUCAAAUGCAAAUAAUAUAUGUACCCUUUGUAUGAUAAAAUUGGGGUUUGGGGAUAAUGACAUCUAUUCUGUACAAAGUCUUGUUCAUACCUUGUAAACCAAGGCUUACUCUUUCAGGGUCAGCAGCAUGUAGGGACAAAAGCAGGCACGCUCCUUUUUUUCUCACACUCAGUCUGAUCCAUCAGCGGGGCCGGUAUCCAACCAUCCAAGAUGGCCAUUUUUACCGUUACCGUUCUGUCCAAACUACCAGCAUCUCUCAUCUGGACUAUUGCAGCACUCUCCUUCUAACGGGCAGCCGUAGGGAGUCUGGAAAGUGGAAAUCAGACCGUGUUCUCUACCAAUUAAAACCCUGCUAGGACUUCGCCACUCAUGCAGAGCAAAAGCCAAAUUCCUUACUAUCAAAUUUCAUAAACUUGACCUUGACCUCACCCUAUUCUUUCCCAAGCUCAUUUCUUGCUCUUUUCCUUCCCCACUCACACCUCUCCAGCUCCAUUAAUGCCUGCGAGGUUCCUCAAACAUCCCUCCUCCUGUCCGCUGGAGAGCCUUUUUGCACAGUAUCCCCUCUAUCCAGAAUAUUCUUCCCCUAACUGUCAGCGUAGCUCACUUUCUCAUCCGUCUCCCUGUCAGACAAGCCUUUCUUGACCACCCUACGUAAAAUUACAUCACCCUCACUCUUACCCAGACCACUCUUGCUAGCAUUAACUACCAUCAAACAUAACUUAUGUUUAGUUGUUACGUUAUAUCGUCUGUCUCCCCCAAGUAGAACGUAAGCUCGACAAGAGCAGGAAUGUUUUCUAUUUUCUUCACCCGUGUGACCCAAGCUCUAGAACAGUGUGAGUUUGUGGCUCAGCGGAUUAAGACUCCAACUAGAAUUCAGGAGGAUGCAGGUUUGAUCCCUGGCCUCACUCAGUGGGUUAACGGAUCCGGCAUUGCCAUGAGCUGUGACAUAAGUCACAGACAUCGCUUGGAUCCCUCGUUGCUGUGGCUGUGGUGUAGCCCCAGCAGCUGUAGCGCCAAUUUGACCCCUAGCCUGGGAGCUUCUAUAUGCCACAGGAGUAGCCCUAAAAAACAAAACAACAGCAAAAAAAAAAAAAAA